UGGGGAAUUUUGGGCAAUGGGCGAAAGCCUGACCCAGCAACGCCGCGUGAAGGAUGAAGUAUUUCGGUAUGUAAACUUCGAAAGAAUAGGAAGAAUAAAUGACGGUACUAUUUAUAAGGUCCGGCUAACUACGUGCCAGCAGCCGCGGUAAUACGUAGGGACCAAGCGUUGUUCGGAUUUACUGGGCGUAAAGGGCGCGUAGGCGGCAAUUCAAGUCAUCUGUGAAAUCUCCGGGCUUAACUCGGAACGGUCAGAUGAUACUGCUUUGCUAGAGUGCAGAAGGGGCAAUCGGAAUUCUUGGUGUAGCGGUGAAAUGCGUAGAUAUCAAGAGGAACACCUGAGGUGAAGACGGGUUGCUGGGCUGACACUGACGCUGAGGCGCGAAAGCCAGGGGAGCAAACGGGAUUAGAUACCCACGUACUCCCUGAGCGGGCUGGCAAGGCGCAU
This 447-nucleotide ribosomal RNA is filed under the name uncultured bacterium. RNAcentral's name for it is "bacterial SSU rRNA". It matches the Rfam family "Bacterial small subunit ribosomal RNA", at positions 355 to 825 of the family's 1533-position model. The record is from RNAcentral.